RNAcentral lists this ribosomal RNA (503 nucleotides) under Solanum tuberosum (potato). RNAcentral describes it as "rRNA SSU_rRNA_eukarya". It matches the Rfam family "Eukaryotic small subunit ribosomal RNA", at positions 607 to 1116 of the family's 1831-position model. Lineage: Eukaryota; Viridiplantae; Streptophyta; Magnoliopsida; Solanales; Solanaceae. The record is from RNAcentral.
AAGUUGUUGCCGUUAAAAAGCUCGUAAUUGGACUUUGGGAUGGGCCGGACGGUCCGCCCUAAAUGUGCACCGGUCGUCUCGUCCCUUCUGUCGGUGAUGCGCUCCUGGCCUUAAUUGGCCGAAUCGUGCAUCCGGCGCUGUUACUUUGAAGAAAUUAUAGGGCUCAAAGCAAGCCUACGCUCUGUAUACAUUAGCAUGGGAUACCAUUAUCAGAUUUUGGUCCUAUUCCCUUGGCCUUUAGGAUCGGAGUAAUGAUUAACAGGGACAGUCGGGGGCAUUCGUAUUUCAUAGUCAAAGGUGAAAUUCUUGGAUUUAUGAUAGACGAACAACUGCAAAAGCAUUUGCCAAGGAUGUUUUCAUUAAUCAAGAAUGAAAGUUGGGGUCUCAAAGAUGAUCAGAUACCGUCCUACUCUCAACCAUAAACGAUGUUGACCAGGGAUCGUCGAAUGUUGCUUUUGGGACUCCGCCAGCACCUUAUGAGAAAUCAAACUUUUUGGGUUCCG